UUGAUGCCGAGACGCUUGAACUUCUCAGGAACAGGCUAGACUGGUAUAUCCUGCAAACGAGAGAAGCCUAUUUCAGAGGUUUGAACACAUUAGCACAACAACUC
RNAcentral lists this microRNA precursor (104 nucleotides) under Oikopleura dioica. RNAcentral's name for it is "microRNA odi-mir-1482 precursor". Lineage: Eukaryota; Metazoa; Chordata; Appendicularia; Copelata; Oikopleuridae. The record is from miRBase by way of RNAcentral.